This 517-nucleotide ribosomal RNA is filed under the name uncultured bacterium. RNAcentral describes it as "bacterial LSU rRNA". It matches the Rfam family "Bacterial large subunit ribosomal RNA", at positions 461 to 940 of the family's 2925-position model. The record is from RNAcentral.
UAAGGCUAAAUACACUUGGCGACCGAUAGUGAACUAGUACCGUGAGGGAAAGGUGAAAAGUCCCCCCUGUUAGGGGAGUGAAAUAGAACCUGAAACCAUAAGCUUACAAGCAGUUGGAGGGCUAACGGCAAGUUGAGCCCCCUAGAAAUAGGGACGUUCCUUGCUAUGCCUGACAGCGUGCCUCUUGGAGAAUGAGCCUGCGAGUUAAUCUCAGUGGCGAGGUUAAGGGAGUGACACCCGAAGCCGUAGCGAAAGCGAGUCUUAAUAGGGCGUAUAGUCGCUGGGAUUAGGCCCGAAACCGUGUGAGCUACCCAUGGGCAGGGUGAAGCGAGUCUAAUCACUCGUGGAGGCCCGAACCCACUAACGUUGCAAAGUUAGGGGAUGACCUGUGGGUAGAGGUGAUAUGCCAAUCGAACACGGAGAUAGCUGGUUCUCCCCGAAAUAGCUUUAGGGCUAGCGUCAUGCGUUUAGAACUGGAGGUACAGCACUGAAUGGGCUAUGGGGCUUACAGCUUACA